Molecule: ribosomal RNA, 638 nt
Filed under: Dendrogyra cylindrus
Lineage: Eukaryota; Metazoa; Cnidaria; Anthozoa; Scleractinia; Meandrinidae
Description: eukaryotic LSU rRNA
Rfam family: Eukaryotic large subunit ribosomal RNA (bases 1-291)
Source: RNAcentral
CUAACAAGGAUUCCCCCAGUAACGGCGAGUGAAGCGGGAUGAGCUCAAAUUUGAAAUCUCCGGUGCUUGCACCGGCGAGUUGUAGUUGCGAGAAGCACUUUCUAGGCGGAUCGGCGGCGCCUAAGUUGCUUGGAACAGCAUGUCGCAGAGGGUGACAACCCCGUCUGUGGCGUGGCCGGCCGCUGACGAUGUGCUUUCGAAGAGUCGGGUUGUUUGGGAAUGCAGCCCAAAAUGGGUGGUAAACUCCAUCUAAAGCUAAAUAUUGGCGUGAGACCGAUAGCGAAGGAAACGAAUGGACUCAGCAAUGCGCCGUUUGAGAUUCAGCCGGUGGGUGGGAUCGGCUCGGGGUUUGCGGAUCUGAAUGGACCGCGGCCUUGGGCUCGUUUCUCCUCGCCGUCGCACUUCUCUUGGGCGCGCGUCAACGUCGGUUGGGACUGGGUCUGAAAGGUGCCGGGAAGGUAGGUCUGGACCUCCGGGUCCGGUCUGUUACAGCCUGGUUCUCUCAUGGCUCGGGUCCGACCGAGGAGUUGCAGCGCAUGCCUCUUGUGGCUAGGGUGCCGUCCUUCCGGCCGGUUGUCGAAUGUGGUGGACUGCUUGCAGUGCUCCGCGACUGCUGCCGGUCGUUGGGGUGGUGAUCU